AGUGGCGAACGGGUGAGUAAUAUAUCGGAACGUGCCCAGUCGUGGGGGAUAACGUAGCGAAAGUUACGCUAAUACCGCAUACGAUCUACGGAUGAAAGCGGGGGACCGUAAGGCCUCGCGCGAUUGGAGCGGCCGAUAUCAGAUUAGGUAGUUGGUGGGGUAAAGGCUCACCAAGCCAACGAUCUGUAGCUGGUCUGAGAGGACGACCAGCCACACUGGAACUGAGACACGGUCCAGACUCCUACGGGAGGCAGCAGUGGGGAAUUUUGGACAAUGGACGCAAGUCUGAUCCAGCCAUUCCGCGUGCAGGAUGAAGGCCCUCGGGUUGUAAACUGCUUUUGUACGGAACGAAAAGGUUUCCAUUAAUACUGGGAGCUCAUGACGGUACCGUAAGAAUAAGCACCGGCUAACUACGUGCCAGCAGCCGCGGUAAUACGUAGGGUGCAAGCGUUAAUCGGAAUUACUGGGCGUAAAGCGUGCGCAGGCGGUUAUGUAAGACAGAGGUGAAAUCCCCGGGCUCAACCUGGGAACGGCCUUUGUGACUGCAUAGCUAGAGUACGGUAGAGGGGGAUGGAAUUCCGCGUGUAGCAGUGAAAUGCGUAGAUAUGCGGAGGAACACCGAUGGCGAAGGCAAUCCCCUGGACCUGUACUGACGCUCAUGCACGAAAGCGUGGGGAGCAAACAGGAUUAGAUACCCUGG
RNAcentral lists this ribosomal RNA (700 nucleotides) under uncultured beta proteobacterium. Its description in RNAcentral is "bacterial SSU rRNA". It matches the Rfam family "Bacterial small subunit ribosomal RNA", at positions 94 to 790 of the family's 1533-position model. Lineage: Bacteria; Pseudomonadati; Pseudomonadota; Betaproteobacteria. The record is from RNAcentral.